ACUCCUACGGGAGGCAGCAGUGGGGAAUAUUGGACAAUGGGCGAAAGCCUGAUCCAGCCAUGCCGCGUGUGUGAAGAAGGUCUUCGGAUUGUAAAGCACUUUAAGUUGGGAGGAAGGGUUGUAGAUUAAUACUCUGCAAUUUUGACGUUACCGACAGAAUAAGCACCGGCUAACUUC
Molecule: ribosomal RNA, 177 nt
Filed under: uncultured Gammaproteobacteria bacterium
Lineage: Bacteria; Pseudomonadati; Pseudomonadota; Gammaproteobacteria
Description: partial 16S ribosomal RNA
Rfam family: Bacterial small subunit ribosomal RNA
Source: RNAcentral